GGGGAUGUAGCUCAACUGGUAGAGCACUAACUGCUAAGCCAAGCGUAGUAUGCAAAUCUAGGUUCAACUCCUCGCAUCUCCA
This 82-nucleotide transfer RNA is filed under the name Setaria italica (foxtail millet). It matches the Rfam family "tRNA". Rfam says of the family: Transfer RNA (tRNA) molecules are approximately 80 nucleotides in length. Their secondary structure includes four short double-helical elements and three loops (D, anti-codon, and T loops). Further hydrogen bonds mediate the characteristic L-shaped molecular structure. tRNAs have two regions of fundamental functional importance: the anti-codon, which is responsible for specific mRNA codon recognition, and the 3' end, to which the tRNAs corresponding amino acid is attached (by aminoacyl-tRNA synthetases). tRNAs cope with the degeneracy of the genetic code in two manners: having more than one tRNA (with a specific anti-codon) for a particular amino acid; and 'wobble' base-pairing, i.e. permitting non-standard base-pairing at the 3rd anti-codon position. Lineage: Eukaryota; Viridiplantae; Streptophyta; Magnoliopsida; Poales; Poaceae. The record is from Rfam by way of RNAcentral.